Molecule: ribosomal RNA, 497 nt
Filed under: uncultured bacterium
Lineage: Bacteria
Description: partial 16S ribosomal RNA
Rfam family: Bacterial small subunit ribosomal RNA
Source: RNAcentral
GAUGAACGCUGGCGGCGUGCCUAAUACAUGCAAGUCUAUCGAACAGACGUGGUGCUUGCUCCUCUGACGUUAGCGGCGGUCGGUUGAGUAACACGUGGAUACCCUACCUAUAAGACUGGGAUACCUUCGGGAAACCGGAGCUCAUACCGGAUAAUAUAUUCAACCGCAUGGUUUAAUAGUGAAAGACGGUUUUGCUGUCCCUUAUAUAUUGAUCCGCGCCGCAUUAGCUAGUUGGUAAGGUAACGGCUUAUCAAUGCGACGCUUCGUAGCCGACAAGACCGGGAGAGCGGGCACGCCUGAACUGAGAGACGGUCAAGACUCGUACGGGAGGCAGCAGUAGGGAAUCUGCCGCGAUGGGCGAAAGCAUGACGGAGAAACGCCGCAAGAGUGAUGAAGGAAUUCGGAGCGUAAAACGAUGUUAUUAGGGAAGAACAAAUGUGUAAGUAACGAUGAAAGAAAUGACGGUACCUAAUCAGAAAGCGACGGCUAAAUACGUG